This 253-nucleotide ribosomal RNA is filed under the name uncultured bacterium. RNAcentral describes it as "partial 16S ribosomal RNA". It matches the Rfam family "Bacterial small subunit ribosomal RNA", at positions 524 to 775 of the family's 1533-position model. The record is from RNAcentral.
UACGGGGGGUGCGAGCGUUAUUCGGAUUCAUUGGGCGUAAAGGGCGCGUAGGCGGUUGGGUAAGUCUGGUGUGAAAACGCUAUCGCUCAACGAAGCGAGUGCAUUGGAUACUGCCUAACUUGAGUGCAGGAGAGGUGAGCGGAAUGAGUGGUGUAGCGGUGGAAUGCUCAGAUAUCACUCAGAACAUCUGUGGCGAAGGCGGCUCACUGGCCUGUUACUGACGCUGAGGCGCGAAAGCGUGGGGAGCAAACGG